This 407-nucleotide ribosomal RNA is filed under the name uncultured bacterium. RNAcentral describes it as "partial 16S ribosomal RNA". It matches the Rfam family "Bacterial small subunit ribosomal RNA", at positions 29 to 526 of the family's 1533-position model. The record is from RNAcentral.
AUUGAACGCUGGCGGCAGGCCUAACACAUGCAAGUCGAGCGGAGCGGCGGACGGGUGCGUAAUGCCUAGGAAUCUGCCUGGUCGUGGGGGAUAACGUCCGGAAAUGGGAGCUAAUACCGCAUCCUAUCAGAUGAGCCUAGGGCGGAUUAGCUAGUUGGGGGGGUAAAGGCCUACCAAGGCGACGAUCCGUAACUGGGCUGAGAGGAUGAUCAGCCACACUGGAACUGAGACACGGGCCAGACUCCUACGGGAGGCAGCAGUGGGGAAUAUUGGACAAUGGGCGCAAGCCUGAUGCAGCCAUGCCGCGUGUAGGAAGAAGGUCUUCGGGUUGUAAAGUACUUUCAGUGGGGAGGCGUUACCCACAGAAGAAGCACCGGCUAACUUCGUGCCAGCAGCCGCGGUAAUAC